AGCAGUCGCCGCGGUAAUACGUAGGUCCCGAGCGUUGUCCGGAUUUAUUGGGCGUAAAGCGAGCGCAGGCGGUUAGAUAAGUCUGAAGUUAAAGGCUGUGGCUUAACCAUAGUACGCUUUGGAAACUGUUUAACUUGAGUGCGGAAGGGGAGAGUGGAAUUCCAUGUGUAGCGGUGAAAUGCGUAGAUAUAUGGAGGAACACCGGUGGCGAAGGCGACUCUCUGGUCUGUAACUGACGCUGAGGAGCGAAAGCGUGGGGAGCGAACAGGAUUAGAUACCCGAGUAGUCCCUGUCUCUUAUACA
This 303-nucleotide ribosomal RNA is filed under the name uncultured bacterium. Its description in RNAcentral is "partial 16S ribosomal RNA". It matches the Rfam family "Bacterial small subunit ribosomal RNA", at positions 507 to 808 of the family's 1533-position model. The record is from RNAcentral.